UUGAACUACAUUCAUCCACUUUCAAACAAUAAUUUUUCCGCUAUUUUUCUUCUAUUUUAUUUUUAUAUUCUUUUUUUCUUCUUUUUCAGAAGGAAUAUGUAAUGACAUCCUUCUUUUAUUUUUCUAUUUUUAUUCAUUUUUAUUUAUUUAUUUUCUUUUGCUGUCAACUUUUUGAAUCAAAUAUCACAAUUAUAAUUAUUCAACCCCACACAACUCCAAACAAAACUCUUUCGAUCCUAUGAAUGAGUGAGAACAUUGUUUUUUACUUUUAGGCUUAUAAUAAGUUUAAACAAAGAAUGAGAUAAUAGACUCAAGGGGUUUUCAAACAAGGGAUGAUAUUAUUCAGGGUUGACUUUUUGGCUACUGGCUAAAAAAUAAACAAAACAAAAAUAAGUUUCAUUUAUCAUAUCAGUGUGCACAAGUAAACACAAAACUUCAACAAGAGUCAAUUCAAGUUCUAGAGACUAACAAACAUGAGUGAAACACACAAGAAAAAAAAGAUGGAUUUUUGAAUGUUAUCCAUUAUUAGACUCAAAAUCUCACAAGGUAAAUGAUCUACCACAAAUUAUGUACAAUUUAGAGUUUAGUCCUACAUAUCAUACUAAGAAUAUACAAAAAGAAUCAAUCACACCACACCACAAGUCUUUAAUCAAGAGAACAAAGAAAAUGCUCAUAAUUGUAACUCAAAAACCAAAAGAAAAAACAAACAAAAAUAAAGAAACUGAAUGAAAUAAAA
This 736-nucleotide long non-coding RNA is filed under the name Lathyrus oleraceus (garden pea). RNAcentral describes it as "Pisum sativum (pea) long non-coding RNA (PSAT_LNC032102)". The record is from RNAcentral. Lineage: Eukaryota; Viridiplantae; Streptophyta; Magnoliopsida; Fabales; Fabaceae.